AUGACAACUGGGGAAGCAAUUUCUAGAAUGUCUGCGGAUACUGUAUUGGUACAAGAUGCCCUUGGAGAGAAGGUGGACAAGCAUGCACAGCUUUUGACAAUCUUUGUUGGAGGUUUUGUCAUCGGAUUCAUAAGAGGUUGGGUGUUAGCUCUAGUUAUGCUGGCAUGCAUACCUCCCAAGUAUUCUCUCUUUUGCAACCGUCUCUCUCUCUCGACUGUGUGCUCAAAUAUCUGCCAGGAGGCAAGCAUCAUACGACGAUGCGGGCAAUGUUGUCAAGCAGAGCAUCAGAGCUAUAAGAAUGGUUGUCUCCUUCAACGGUGA
Molecule: ribosomal RNA, 321 nt
Filed under: Triticum aestivum (bread wheat)
Lineage: Eukaryota; Viridiplantae; Streptophyta; Magnoliopsida; Poales; Poaceae
Description: partial small subunit ribosomal RNA
Source: RNAcentral